Molecule: ribosomal RNA, 253 nt
Filed under: uncultured bacterium
Lineage: Bacteria
Description: partial 16S ribosomal RNA
Rfam family: Bacterial small subunit ribosomal RNA
Source: RNAcentral
UACAGAGGUGGCAAGCGUUGUUCGGAAUUACUGGGCGUAAAGGGCGCGUAGGCGGCCUUCUAAGUCGGAUGUGAAAUCCCCAAGCUUAACGUGGGAACUGCAUCCGAUACUGGAUGGCUUGAAUCCGGGAGAGGGAUGCAGAAUUCCAGGUGUAGCGGUGAAAUGCGUAGAUAUCUGGAGGAACACCGGUGGCUAAGGCGGCAUUCUGGACUGCAACUGACACUGAAAGACGAAAGCCAGGGGAGCAAACGGG